AGCCGCGAACGGGUGGGUAACACGUGGGUUACCUGCCUCGAUGACUGGGACAACCCGAGGAAACUCGGGCUAAUACUGGAUGUUCCCGCAAGGGGAAAGGAAGCUUCGGCCUCCGCAUCGAGAUGGGCCCGCGGCCCAUUAGCUUGUCGGUGGGGUAAAGGCCCACCAAGGCUUCGAUGGGUAGCUGGUCUGAGAGGACGAUCAGCCACACUGGGACUGAGACACGGCCCAGACUCCUACGGGAGGCAGCAGUGGGGAAUCUUGCGCAAUGCGCGAAUGCGUGACGCAGCAACGCCGCGUGGGGGAAGAAGGCUUUCGGGUUGUAAACCCCUUUCAGUUGGGACGAAGCUUCGCCGAUGAAUAGUCGGCUGGAGUGACGGUACCUUCACAAGAAGCACCGGCUAACUACGUGCCAGCAGCCGCGGUAAUACGUAGGGUGCAAGCGUUGUCCGGAAUUAUUGGGCGUAAAGAGCGUGUAGGCGGCCCGAUCAGUCUGCUGUGUAAGUCCAGGGCUCAACCCUGGAAUGCCGGUGGA
RNAcentral lists this ribosomal RNA (535 nucleotides) under uncultured bacterium. RNAcentral's name for it is "bacterial SSU rRNA". It matches the Rfam family "Bacterial small subunit ribosomal RNA", at positions 94 to 630 of the family's 1533-position model. The record is from RNAcentral.